Microcebus murinus (gray mouse lemur) is the source of this 3288-nucleotide non-coding RNA. The record is from RefSeq and is a predicted model, not a curated record. Lineage: Eukaryota; Metazoa; Chordata; Mammalia; Primates; Cheirogaleidae.
GCCCUGCAGCCUAGCCAGGCCGAGCUGCGUGCCCUGGCGCGCACCCCUCCCACUCGUGCUUAACCCAGCCAGGUCCCCCUGCCCGGCUCCAGCAGGCUCCCUCACCUCGUCCCUGCCACCUUCUUCGUUCCUCCUCCCUUUCCUCCUCCCCCACUGCCCCGCCCCCAGCUCGGCUCGCUCGGACUAGCAGAGGCCGCCUGCAGACGGGCCAGGCCGGGUCCACUUGGGGACGCACAGCCCGUGUCUCUUCUCCGCCUCAAGGAGACAGGCCGGCCUAGAUGACUGACCGCUGGACUCCAGUGUCCAGUCCUGAGUCGCGGGGAAACGGGGAGGAAGCAGGAUGGUGGCACCCACGCACGGCCUGGGUCCUCCUGGGGCGGUGUGCUGGGCUCCCACUCCCACCUUCCUCGACCUGCUCUGCCUCGGGGCCGGAGGCUCCCCGCGCCCUCGCACCUGGUCGCCUGCCCCUUGCACCCCGCUUGGCCGAGCAUGGACCCGGAUCGGGGCGCCUUGGUUGGGAACUGCCAGGAGGGCCCUGAGGACACCUGGGAGAUGACUGUCACCUGAGAAACCUCCUUUGGCAGACGGGGAAGCCUCUCUGCCACCUCGGGAAGAGAGAGGAGAGGGCGGCCGGCUGGUGGCACUGGCACAGUGCUCACCACAGGUAGCUCGCUCAGGUGAGAGGGAACCAGUUGCUAAGUGCAGCGUUGUGCUCAACGACUCCUUGGCCCCAGGCUUGUUGCUCCUGGUAAGUGCCCCCAGGCCCAGUAGCCUAUCCAUCCCAGAUCCCAGGCACACCACACCCCGCCUCCACCGUGUGCCCUGCCCUGCCUGUCAUCUCAGUGCAGCCCCUGCCCAGGACCACCACACCCUUGCACACAAGCACGCCACUUCCCACACACUCGGGGGCACUUCGGGGACCAAGCAGGGGCAUUUCAGGUGCGACCCCAUGUGGGAAAUCCUAAUUCAGUUCAGGGCAGAUAUUUUAAAUCGAUUAUUAUAGAGUUGAAAGCAAGAGAGGUGGAGAGAGAAAGAGAAAAAGAGAUACCUCGGUAGCCUCCUGGGGCGAGCCACUGUCAAUGUCUAUAACGCUUUUGGUUUUCCUGGGAGGAACUCCUCCAGAAAGACGCAUCGAGGAGAUGCCCACAUGUUUGGGUGACAAACACAAACAGCGACGGAUCAGAUUGCAGCCCUUUAGGCUCCACUUCCCAUCAGAUUAGUUUAAGUGAGAAAAAAAAAAGGGAAGGGGGUCUAAUUUUUCUCACCCGGGGAAGACAGGCCUGGAGUAUUUCCAUUUCUAAAGACCCUUCCUGCUGUGGGGUCAUUAGCAUUUGGGGCUUUUCUCCCCCCUCCUCCUCCUCCCGCCUGACCUCUGGCAGGGGCGGAAGAGAAAACACGGAGUUAUUACAGAAACAUCCCCAGUUCAGAGCAGGACCGUAUGCUCCAGAUACAGUCGAUUCUGACACCAAUUAAAUGUGUAACCAGACAAGUGCACUGGGAGGCUGUCCGUCCUCCAGGACGGCCGGCCCUUCCCCUCUCCUGAGCCCAGCGCCGCCCGCGAGUUUGAAGACGGCCUCUUCCCUUCCUGUGUGUACACCUUCCCCCCAGCAAUUAUACUCCUCCACUAAAAUCUAAAUUUUCCAUACUGCUGCUGCCUGGUGCUAAUAAAAACCGUCUACCUUGCACUAUUACACAGUCGAGUCCCACUACAUGCCGUUUUUAUUGGUAGUGACUGUAGCAAAUUAAAAUGCCUACGCAGAGACAUUAAAACUUGCGCUUUUCAUUGUUAUUGGAAUAUAUAAACUCGGCUUUGCUGUAAAGCUCCCUGAUUUUUUUUAAAAAAAAUCACUUUUCGUUUUCUUAGGUUAAAGUUGACUUGGUCUUCCUAAAAAAAAAAAAAAAAAUCAGGAAAAACACCCCAGCAAGUGUGAAGGCUCAGCGUGGUGUUCCUUGCCAGGCUGCCUGAAGGGUGGCCCCGGUGAGCUUGGAGCCCACUGGAUGCGGGUCCACGGGGAGCGGGUGGAGGCGUCCCCGGCCCCUAGGCGGCUCCCCCGGGGAGCAGAGGCCUGGCUGUUUCGCUCAAGGGCAGAAGGGUGCUCUGGCACAUGGAGUCGCCUGGCUGUGGUCGGGCACUUUGCUGCUGCUGCUGCUGCUUUUCGGUUGUCAUCUGAGCUGGGAUAACAGCGCAGGCAAGCAGGGGACCAGGAGCUGCUGCCAAAGCACAGCCACUUGGUGCCAUUGCCCAGGCAGUGUGUGGCUUCAGGCUGACAGUGGAUCCUCCCUCCGUUCCCCAGGGGUGUGUGUGUGUGAGAGGGGGGGGGAGAGUUAACGUCGUCAUAUUUUUGUUUCUUGUGCUUACAGCGGCCUAAGCAUUUAGAACCAGUGGGUGUGGACGCACCUCUCAGAGAACCGGGUUCUCCUGCGAGGCCAAGCGCAGAGAAGGGCCAGGGACGCAGGCUGGGGUUCCAGGGUCGUCCGAGGAUCACGGCCGGCCGGGGAGCGCGUGUUCUCUUAACCAGCUCUUCCUCACCCGGCUGUCCUGUCUUUAGCUCCAGAUUACUGCCGGGUGUCGUCACUGCAACCUUGUCCCUCCCGGUUUCCUUAGUGGCAACAAAAUUCGCCAUCCUCUGACAGAUGCCCCGCCUCCAACGAGCUUCCCUGAAGUUUCUCUCUGGCGCGGGGUCCGGGAAACCCUAAUUUCUCCCUUUCUCAGCAGCUCGUUGCCUCCCGAGGUUCUUCUUCCCCUUUCCCUGCCUUCCCGUGUCCUUCGCCCCCGGGCUCUUUUCCUCCUCUGCGCGCCAUCCCCACCCCCGCUCCGCGACAAGCACCCCCCCACCCCGCCUUCCCGCACAGGUGUGGGUGCAGCCCCGGCCUGGGGUGCCCCCGCUGUGCUGGGCAGCUCGGGGCUGCAACGCUGGGCUUGGUGCAACCUGCCCGCGCCCCCCCACCCCCCCUAAGUCCCAGGCCAAGGCUCCCGCCAGGAAGGAGCAUGCGGGGAGGGGGAUAGGAACACGCGGGGGAGCCCAGGAAUGCCGGAGAGGGAGGGAAGGGGACAGUCCUGGGGAAUGGACCUGCCUCAGUGCCUUUAAGGGCUCCAGUUCAAGGAGACUCGCUUCAGGAUCAGCGACCUGACCACCGGAGUUCUUCACCGGGCGACAGUUUGGAGAGGAAGUGCUUGACUCUCGCCAGCCGUGUCGCCUUCGCACACGCGCCCUAGCGGGCCCGCAUCCCGCACUGAGACACGCGCGCACACGCGCUCCCCGGACAGCCGCUCGUCUCAGAAGCUGU